CGGGGUGUAGCGUAGCCCGGUAUCGCGCCACAUUUGGGAUGUGGAGGUCGUAGGUUUCCUGCCACCCCGA
This 70-nucleotide transfer RNA is filed under the name Sphingobacterium sp. RNAcentral's name for it is "tRNA-Pro". It matches the Rfam family "tRNA". From Rfam's summary of the family: Transfer RNA (tRNA) molecules are approximately 80 nucleotides in length. Lineage: Bacteria; Pseudomonadati; Bacteroidota; Sphingobacteriia; Sphingobacteriales; Sphingobacteriaceae. The record is from RNAcentral.